GCCUGCAUAACACGCCCCUCUAAAUCAGUAAUAAUUAAAACAAUUUAAUAAUCAGAUAAUAUAGUACAGAAAUGGAAAUAAGCAACAAAUUAAAGUAAAUUUUAAAAAAUGUACCUCGUGCACUAUGGUUUUACAAGAAAAUAAUUAAAUAUAUAAAUCCCGAAUUCUGAGUGAGAUGUUAAACUGCUGUCAAGAACCCAUUAAUAACUGUGGAAAAAGUUUUAAGAGACAGUUUAACAGAGGCUACAUACCAUUCGCGUAAGAAUAUAGCUGGUUUUCAACAAACAUUAUAUAUUAAAGCAUAUAAUCAUAUUAUAGUGUAACAUUAUUGAGGACAAGCCCGAUAAUUCAUGCAAUAAAUAUAAAUAUUCUUCCCAACCUUAUAGGCCUAAAAUCAGCCAACUAGAGUACUUUAUCGUACCACAAGUGGAUAUAAUAUGUAGAAUUCAAUGMCCAAAAAAGUUGAAAUACUGAAUAAACUACACAUAUUCACCCUUAAUAUGUAAAAAUAAGUAUUAUAUUUAAUAACUAUUACAGCCUGGCAAUAACAGCAUAUAUUCAGUAAUAAUUAAUUAAGGAACUCGGCAAACCCUUAUUUCGACUGUUUAACAAAAACAUUGUCUUAUGAAUAAAAUAUAAGAUAAAACCUGCCCAGUGACUCUUGUUCAACGGCCGCGGUAUCCUAACCGUGCAAAGGUAGCAUAAUCAUUUGCCUAUUAAUUGUAGGCUAGAAUGAACGGGUUAACGAAAUAAAAGCUGUCUCAAUUAAUUAACUAAAAAUUAUUCUCUACCCGAAGAAAGGUAGAUGUACUCGAAGGACAAGAAGACCCUAUAGAGCUUAAUUUAAUCUACAGAACUACACUGUAACAGUAUUCGGUUGGGGCGACCCAGGGCUAACUAAUCACCCAUUAAAUUAAAGAUAAAUUAAUCCAAUAAAUGACCCUCAAAGAUCACAAGAACAAGCUACCUUAGGGAUAACAGGCUAAUCCCACUUAAGAGUUCUUAUCAACAGUGGGGUUUGGCACCUCGAUGUUGGCUUAGGGUAUCCCUAUAGCGCAAAAGUUAUAUAAAGAUGGUUUGUUCAACCAAUAAUUCCCUACAUGAGCUGAGUUCAGACCGGCGUAAGCCAGGUUAGCUUCUAUCCUCGACUUACUACAAUCUACUCCUAGUACGAAAGGACCUGAGCAGAAUAAUACAUUAUCUUAAAGAAUCCAUAUAAUUAAAUAUCAACGACAACAAAUAUAUACUAU
Molecule: ribosomal RNA, 1250 nt
Filed under: Amynthas yambaruensis
Lineage: Eukaryota; Metazoa; Annelida; Clitellata; Crassiclitellata; Megascolecidae
Description: l-rRNA
Source: RNAcentral